GACGAACGCUGGCGGCGUGCUUAACACAUGCAAGUCGAACGGAAAGGCCCUGCUUUUGUGGGGUGCUCGAGUGGCGAACGGGUGAGUAACACGUGAGUAACCUGCCCUUGACUUUGGGAUAACUUCAGGAAACUGGGGCUAAUACCGGAUAGGAGCUCCUGCUGCAUGGUGGGGGUUGGAAAGUUUCGGCGGUUGGGGAUGGACUCGCGGCUUAUCAGCUUGUUGGUGGGGUAGUGGCUUACCAAGGCUUGACGGGUAGCCGGCCUGAGAGGGUGACCGGCCACAUUGGGACUGAGAUACGGCCCAGACUCCUACGGGAGGCAGCAGUGGGGAAUAUUGCACAAUGGGCGGAAGCCUGAUGCAGCAACGCCGCGUGCGGGAUGACGGCCUUCGGGUUGUAAACCGCUUUCGCCUGUGACGAAGUGUGAGUGACGGUAAUGGGUAAAGAAGCACCGGCUAACUACGUG
RNAcentral lists this ribosomal RNA (467 nucleotides) under uncultured bacterium. Its description in RNAcentral is "partial 16S ribosomal RNA". It matches the Rfam family "Bacterial small subunit ribosomal RNA", at positions 28 to 507 of the family's 1533-position model. The record is from RNAcentral.